GGUUAAGUGACUAAGCGUACACGGUGGAUGCCUUGGCAGUCAGAGGCGAUGAAGGACGUAUUAACUUGCGAUAAGCGUAGAUGAGGCAGUAAAAGCCACUUGAGUCUACGAUUUCCGAAUGGGGAAACCCAGCUGCAUAAGCAGUUAUCGUUGCGUGAAUACAUAGCGUAACGAGGCGAACCGGGAGAACUGAAACAUCUAAGUACCCCGAGGAAAAGAAAUCAACCGAGAUUCUGGAAGUAGCGGCGAGCGAAACCGGAUUAGCCCUUAAGCUUUUUAUGCGUCAGGUGAAGUGUCUGGAAAGGCACGCGAUACAGGGUGAUAGCCCCGUAACCGGCAACGUAUUUAAAGUGAAAUCGAGUAAGGCGGGACACGUGAUAUCCUGUCUGAAUAUGGGGGGACCAUCCUCCAAGGCUAAAUACUCCUGACUGACCGAUAGUGAACCAGUACCGUGAGGGAAAGGCGAAAAGAACCCCUGUGAGGGGAGUGAAAUAGAACCUGAAACCGUGUACGUACAAGCAGUAGGAGCCUCCUUUGUGGGGUGACUGCGUACCUUUUGUAUAAUGGGUCAGCGACUUAUAUUCAGUG
This 588-nucleotide non-coding RNA is filed under the name Vibrio palustris. RNAcentral describes it as "Bacterial large subunit ribosomal RNA". It matches the Rfam family "Bacterial large subunit ribosomal RNA", at positions 1 to 639 of the family's 2925-position model. The record is from Rfam by way of RNAcentral. Lineage: Bacteria; Pseudomonadati; Pseudomonadota; Gammaproteobacteria; Vibrionales; Vibrionaceae.